This 335-nucleotide ribosomal RNA is filed under the name uncultured eukaryote. Its description in RNAcentral is "partial 18S ribosomal RNA". It matches the Rfam family "Eukaryotic small subunit ribosomal RNA", at positions 1470 to 1796 of the family's 1831-position model. The record is from RNAcentral.
CCCUUAGAUGUCCGGGGCCGCACGCGCGCUACACUGAAGGAAUCAGCGUGGCUUUCUCCCUGACCCGAAAGGGUUGGGAAACCCGUUGAAUCUCCUUCGUGAUAGGGAUUGGGGCUUGAAAUUGUUCCCCAUGAACGAGGAAUUCCCAGUAAGCGCGAGUCAUAAGCUCGCGUUGAUUACGUCCCUGCCCUUUGUACACACCGCCCGUCGCUACUACCGAUUGGAUGGUUUAGUGAGGCCCUCGGAUCGGCCCCGCCGGGGUCGGCCCACGGCCCUGGCGGAGCGCUGAGAAGACGGUCGAACUUGACUAUCUAGAGGAAGUAAAAGUCGUAACA